CCUUUCCCACCUCCGCCCAGCACUGCCACGGCUCCCUCUUCUUGCUUGUCUUUUCAGGCGGUGGAUAUUGGAAUCGGGAGCUUUGCAGUUGUGCCAACUCGAGCCGCUGCUGGACAGGAUGGGGCUCUGGAAGUAGACACACCCGUUUUCCAGCUGAACCAACACGUCCAGACAUUUUACAACCUCAAGGAUUCUAAGACCAAAAUUCCUUCCGAGAUAUUCGAACAUCCGCUGAACUUCGAGGAGAUUGCUCAAACCAUCUACUUCCGCCCGCCAAUCGUAGAGCAGUGCAUCCAUGAGACCCUGCUCUUCUUUGCCGAGGCCCUCCGAGGAAAGAAGGAAGUGGACUUCUUGUUCAGGAGGCUUGGCAUUCUUUCUCUGAGAGGGCGACAGGUCACCAUGAACUUCUUUGACGACUGCGCCCUGGAGCUGGAUGCGACGGGCAACAUGCUGCCAGCUCUUCUCGGGGACUCCGAGAUGAUGAACAUGAUUGCCUUUCGAGGCAAAAGCAAAUUCACUCGACGCAGCGUGGACGGCUGCAUCGUGCUGCCAAGGCUUCAAGUUGAGGGCUCAAAGACUUGCCAAGAAACGACAUCCGUCAAGCCCCAGAGAGAGCUGCAGCCGUGGGUCGGGGGUGCCCGAAGAGUGAGUGUGUACGAUCCGGUGAUGCUGGCUCGGCGCAGGGUAUCUCAAGUGGUGAGGGUAGAGAAGAAGCAGAAAGAGGAGGAGAAGAAAAAGCAAAGAGUCCGAUUCAGGUUCCUGCCACAGCUUGAGCAGAUGUACAUGGAAGAGCUGAAGCAGCCAAAACCUCCAGCUCAGCCGGGGCCCUCCGCCAGUGCCCAGCAGGCCUCCAAAAUGGCAGCGCGCUCGGUGCGCGCUCAGAUCGAAGAGAGACGGCUCCGCGUGCUGAUGGCCUCCAAGCGCAAGGAGGUCAAAGCCGAAAUCCAGAGCCAGUGCAGGGAGUGCACACGGCGGCAGAGCGCGGAGAGAAGCCAGAACCCCUUCCACCGCCUGCUGGAGGUUGAGCCUCGUCCUUCCUACAUCCUGAGAAGGGAGUACGACCAGAAGCUGAAGGGGAAGGACAGGUACCAAAGCCCUGCAGGGCAGACAGAGCCACAGGAGCGGCAGGACAAUCCGCAGCUCCCAGGAGCAGCACGGGAACGGUAAGCGUGCACCGGCUUCUGCACAGGCCCGGGAGCAGCCUCGGGAGGCCCUGAGCCCCAGAUCUGUUGCCCAGGCUUCCCUGGGCUGCGGGGCUGGGCCUUCUCCCCGUCCUCGUGACACAGAAGGAGCUGGGUGUGAUGCCACCUCCGGGAGCCUCUCGGCAGCUCCCAGCCGAGGCAUGACACUUGUACCAAGGGGAAGGCUGUGAGUCCCCUGGGAGGCCGGGGCCAUGUGCGUGGUGCUGUGCAUCUGCGUGGGCCGGCACCGGCACCGAGGAAGGAAGAGGCAGCAGCGUCCCAGCCAGCGCACGCUGGGGCCCCUUGUGUGGGUGGGAGCCCCUUGGGCGUCAGCCUUGGAGCUGCUCCGUGCCAGGGCCCGGUGCUGCUCACCUUCCCCCCGGCUGGCGGGCGCUCUUGGUGCUGAUGGGCCUGGGCACGAGGGCCCCGGGGUAACACGCAGAGCGGGGUCUGACCUGGGCGGCACGUCCCCAGACUACAGGCCCGAGAGAAGCCCUGCGGCGUUUGCAUCCCUCCUUCCCCAGCCCAGAGACGAAGGCCUUUCUUCUUGGUUCCUACAGGAACGGAGAGAAGACGAGGCUCUUGGAGCGCCGUGGGAAGGCCCGGGGCCUGCAAGGCAGCUUCCAGCUGCAGCGGCCGUAGACAUCGCGGCCUACACCAAAACGCUGCGGCAGGCACCAGCGACUGCACCCAGGCGCACUCAAGCAGAACCUCCCACGGCUGCACGCUGCCACCUUUGCAGCGGGACAGCUGUCAGCAGCGGGGGCGAGGGGCACCUUUCCAAAACGGAAUUGACACCUUCACUCAACUAAAGGGAAAUUCACAGCUUCUGUAGUGUUUGCCUUACGCGAUCGUUUUGUGCGCGCAAAUUGCACUGCUUCAGCAAUUACUUCAAGAGUCUUCAGCAAAGUGGCAUUUGGCCUAGGGAAGGUCGUUCGUUACUCCUAGGCAAGCCGGACAUCUGAAGCCUGAAAGCAGAGCCUCAA
This 2167-nucleotide long non-coding RNA is filed under the name Numida meleagris (helmeted guineafowl). RNAcentral's name for it is "lncRNA (ENSNMEG00000002696.1)". The record is from RNAcentral. Lineage: Eukaryota; Metazoa; Chordata; Aves; Galliformes; Numididae.